RNAcentral lists this ribosomal RNA (210 nucleotides) under Moneuplotes crassus. Its description in RNAcentral is "partial 17S ribosomal RNA". It matches the Rfam family "Eukaryotic small subunit ribosomal RNA", at positions 1608 to 1831 of the family's 1831-position model. The record is from RNAcentral. Lineage: Eukaryota; Ciliophora; Spirotrichea; Euplotida; Euplotidae.
GAAUUCCUAGUAAGCGCGGGUCAUCAGCCCGCGUUGAUUACGUCCCUGCCCUUUGUACACACCGCCCGUCGCUCCUACCAAUUUCGAGUGGCUCGGUGAACCUCUUUGGACUGUCGAGCAAUCGCGAAAUUAGAGUGAACCUGGUCACUUAGAGGAAGGAGAAGUCGUAACAAGGUUUCCGUAGGUGAACCUGCGGAAGGAUCAAUCUUA